Molecule: long non-coding RNA, 4530 nt
Organism: Bos taurus (domestic cattle)
Lineage: Eukaryota; Metazoa; Chordata; Mammalia; Artiodactyla; Bovidae
Source: Ensembl
CCCGGACCCAAGGGUGCAGGGAAAUGCGAGGCUCCCAGAGUCAGAGAUGUCCCCACCUGCCGUCCACCCUCUGGCCCAGGCUGCUGCUUGGGUCUAAGGAUGGGGGGAGGGGAGGAUCAGGUGACCUCGACCCUCUCCUGAGUGACACCGGCCCUGGGACAACAGGUGUCAUCUGAGAACGUCCCAGCCCCAGGUCCUGCCUGUGAGACCAGAGACUCGACCACUCCCUCAUAAUCCAGCCACGUUGCACACCGGUCACAGGUCCUGUCAAGUACAAAGUGCUGGUCGGCGUGCCAAGGACACGCCACACUUGGAGGAAGCCAGCGACUCUGGGGAGGCCAGUUCUUGUACUUUUCCAAGCCAACCACCUUCCUGAAAAUACCGAGGCCUGAAACAGACGGGGCAGGAGUACAGGAGCAGGGAAUGGUGCCAGACCGAUGUCCAGGAGGGUGAGCACGGAUGACAGCUGCUCUCGGAGGAACCGCAUAAGGCUCCGCCAGCACCUGCUGCCCCCAGCCCCACUGGCACCCGGCCCAACCCAGGGCCAGGAAUGGGGGCAACAGAACGCCAACCCCAAGGCCCCCGCUCUGCCUAACCACACCCAGGUCAGCGGGCAGCCGGGGCUUCUGUGCCCUGUGUCACCAGGAUCCUGGGUGCGGGAAAACCCUUGGAAGUCCAGGAGGAAGGAGCCAGACCCGGCCAUGGAGACCUGGCAGGUGGAAGCAGGGACUGUGGCCCACAGACCCCAGACCACCUCCUGUACCCCUGCGCUCACCUCAGCCCCCAGGCCACAGAGCCUGCCAGUCCCCCCGCCGCCUCCCGGGACCUGAAGGAGAAACGGGCUCUGGACAGCCAGGGGAGCCCUGAAGCCCUCCGCUUGGCGACUUGCUGCCUGAGCCAUUCUGUAGCCUUGCUCACUGCCCGCACCCAGCCCCCAUGCACAACCUCCAAGACCACCCGACCUCCUGGCCUGCAGGUACCCCGCACCCUGCGUUUCCUUCUGCACGCUUCUGGGGGCAACAAGAGACAGGAAACUCUGCCUAGAACCUGGGUGCCCCUUCUGCAGGACGAUCUCUGCCCUUUCAGAGUCUAGCCCUCAGGAGCAGGCUCAGAAAACCCGCAUUUCAGGCCACCCCUGGAUGAAGGGUGGGGGCCGGGGUACUGGGGACGGAGCAGAGGCUGGGCUGAGAGGAGACAGCAGGGGAGUGGAGGUCGGGGAGCCGGGGCGGGGGCCGGGGGCUCCUCCCGAAGGACCGCAGGGCAGGUGGCGCACUCUGCGCAGAACCGGCCGAGCCGCCUCUACAUCAGAGCGGGACCGAUGUGGUCCAUACAGCAGAGCCAGACCAACCCGGCCCCUACAGCAAGCCCGGCCCGACCCCGUGUCCACAGCAGAGCCGGCCCAAUCCGCCUCUACAGCAGGCCCCGGGGCGGUCCCGAGGCUUCGGCUCUGGACCCAGCUAGUCGCAGCGGAGACGACAGCCAUCGGCCAGGUCCAGGCCAGGGCGCAGGAAGGGGCGCCUCUCGCUCCCUGGCACGCUCACCUGCAGGAAUGGGAGUCCGGGUCCAGGGUUGCAGCUGCACGGGGUCGGAGGUCUUUGGUGCCCCUCUCCCGGGGUCACACGGGCCCAGGCCCACCGGGGGGCCCAGUGGAAAGGUCCCGCCUGACCUCGGCUGGUACUGGAGGCGCAGCGGAGACCGCGGAGGCGCGCGGAGGAGGCUUCAACAGUAUGUGAAUGGAGAACUUUCAGAUGUUCAAGCUGGAUUUAGAAAAAGCAGAGGAACCAGAGAUCAAAUUGCCAAUGUCCGUUGAAUCACAGUAAGAAAAUUCAAUAAAAACAUCUAUUUUUGCUUCAUGGACUACACUAAAGCCUUUGACUGUCUGGAUCACAACAAACUGGAGAAUUCUUAAAGAGAUGGGAAGAGCAGACCACCUUACCUGCCUCCUGAGAAAUCUGUGUGCAGGUCAAGAAGCAACAGUUAGAACUGGACAUGAAACAACGGACUGGUUCCAAAUAGGAAAAGGAGGACGUCAAGGCUGUACAUUGUCACUUUGCUUAUUUAACUUCUAUGCAGAGUACAUCAUGAGAAAUGCCUGGCUGGAUGAAGCACAAGCUGGAAUCAAGAUUGCUGGGAGAAAUAUCAAUAACCUCAGAUAUGCAGAUGACACCACCCUUAUGGCAGAAAGCUAAGAGGAACUAAAGAGCCUCUUGAAGAAAGUGAAAGAGGAGAGUGAAAAAUCUGGCUUAAAACUCAGCAUUCAGAAAACUAAGAUCAUGCAAUCUGGUCCCAUCACUUCAUGGCAAAUAGAUGGGGAAACAAUGGAAACAGUGACAGACUUAUUUUGGGGGGCUCCAGAAUCACUGCUGAUGGUGACUGCAGCCAUGAAAUUCAAAAACGCUUGCUCCAUGAAAGAAAAGCUAUGACCAACUUAGCAUAUUAAAAAGCAGAGACAUUACUUUGCCAACAAAGUCCAUCUAGUCAAAGCUGUGGUUUUUCCAAUAGUCAUGUAUGGAGGUGAGAGUUGGAUUAUAAAGAAAGCUGAGCGCUAAAGAAUUGAUGCUUUUGAACUGUGGUGCUGGAGAAGACUCUUGAGAGUCCCUUGGACUGCAAGUGGAUCCAACCAGUCCAUGCUAAAGGAAAUCAGUCCUGAAUAUUCAUUGGAAGGACUGAUGCUGAAGCUGAAACUUCCAUACUUUGGCCACCUGAUGGGAAGAACUGACUCAUUCUAAAAGACCCUAAUGCUGGGAAAGAUUGAAGGCUGGAGGAGAAGCGGACAACAGAGGAUGAGAUGGUUGAAUGGCAUCACCAACUCAAUGGACAUGAGUUUGAGCAAGCUCCGGGAAUUGGUGAUGGACAGGGAGGCCUGGCUUGCUGCAGUCCAUGGGGUCGCAAAGAGUCGGACACGACUGAGCGACUGAACUGAAUUGAACUACUCCCCCACCAAGCCCCAACUCUACCAUGAGAGCCUGCUGGCUGAGGACAAGCUGUUUUUUCAUGAUGCUGGUUUUCUGCUGCGUAUUCAGUAGUGUGCUUAAUUCUGCAAGGCAGGGACCAGCCUUCCCAUUUUACAGAGGAGGACUCUGAGGCCAAAGCAGAUCAACACUCUGGGAGGUGGCACCACUCAGCAAAGAGGAAGCAGGCUUUUCCACAGCCAGAAACCUGUUGAAUAAAUUGAUUAGCAAAUCAUUAUAAAUUAUUCCCUUACAUUUAUUUAACUUUAAUAUCUUUCAAAACAGUGUGUGUGUAUGUUCACGCACACGUACUCAGUUCUUUGUGACCCCAUGGACUGCAGCCCGCCAGGCUCCUCUGUCCAUGGAAUUUUCUAGGCAAGAAUAUUGCAGUGGGUUGCCAUUGUCUUCUCCAGGGGAUCUUCCCAACUCAGGGAUCGAACCCACAUCUCCUGCAUCUCCUACACUGGCAGGCAGAUUCUUUACCACUGAGCCACCAGGGAAGCCCCUUCAAAACAGCCUUACCUCUCAUGCAAUUGGCCAAAGUGAAAAUUGGCAGAGAAGGUAUUAUGCCAUGGCUAAGCAUAGAGAUUCUGACUUUUGGGGUCCAAACUCUGUCUUUUUCACUUUCGUGCUAUGUGAUCUGAGGCUACUUAAUCUCUCUUUGCCUAAAAUGGGGGUAAUAAUAGAACUUAAGGAGGAGUUUGAGGGUUAAUUGAGUUAAUAUCUGUAAAACAUUCAGAAAUUGCCUGGCAUGUAAGGGCUCCGUGAGAUUUGGUCUCUCUGCUUUUUUCUGCCUGACACAGCAACAUGCAACAGUGCAGACCAUCGCAGAGAGACUGCUGUGUGCGAAAUGGAGAGCGGGGAGAAGCUGCUCUGAGCACAGGGCGCCCAGCCUGGGGCUCUGCGAUGACCGUGUCGGGUGGGGUGGGGGGAAGGAGGGGGACUCAAGAGGGAGAGAACAUUUGUAUAAUUAUGGCUGAUUUGUAUAAUUAUGGCCAUUGUUGUAUGGCGGAAACCAACACAGCACUGUAGAAGUUAAACAAAGCAACACUGUAAAGCCUGUGCAAAGCCCAGGCCUUUGGUCUUACAGGGAGGAGCUCUGGUGGUCUUACCUGUAGCAGUGACAGAGAGAAGACCUUCUCAGUGGUGUGGCUGCUUGUCCCCUGGUGCCACCAGGAGCCUGGGUGAACGUCCAGCUUAGAAACAGCAGCCUUAUCAGCACCAUCGGAUACCAGUGGGUGUCAGCCUUCAAGGGCACAGGCUUCAAAGUGAAAUAUAAGUCCGGCGUUCCGUGUCUCCAGUCUGGGGUGACGAAGGUGGAGAGACCAUUUCACUGUCUCCGUAGUAAACAAAGAGCAACCUCAUCGGGACCGGACCGGCGUAUGGGGUUUCACUGACCUCGGAGAACAAAGCAGGUGGAGCCCAGCUGGAAACUCCCCUCAGGGCUCAGAAGGGCGCUGAGACGCAUCCCUGGGAACCUGGGUGCUAUGGGGAGCAGACGCCUCGCUGUAGACGCCUGGUCGCUACAGGUCAAAGCUUCAGGAAGGUCAUCCCUUUAGGAAUGGUCCUUGUAGACUGC